Molecule: long non-coding RNA, 775 nt
Filed under: Equus caballus (horse)
Lineage: Eukaryota; Metazoa; Chordata; Mammalia; Perissodactyla; Equidae
Description: lncRNA (ENSECAG00000041870.2)
Source: RNAcentral
GUUUAAAGUUCUGCAGCGUCUGCCCUAGAUCUUUCCAGAGAAAGGCUUGCUAAGCAAGAGCAGAAUGAUCACAUCAUUCACACUUGAACUCAACGCGAUGAGCACAUCUGUUUGUCCUCAUUAAGUGCAGCGUAGCGGGCGCUAACCGACGUGCACAGGCAGCGGGCUGGGGCAGGGCCAGGGAGCCAGGAACAGGGCAGGAGAGCUGAGCUCUGCCCGCAGCCGCCCAAGAGGAGCUCUGCAGCCUGGGGAGAUCAGCUGCCUGCCUCUCUGAGACCACUGUAAACUGCAAGUUCCAAGAGGGCAAGGAUGCCUUGUUUAUGCCCAGAAUCUACCACAUACGUACACUCCAUAACUAUUUGUGGAAAGAGUGAAUGAAGUUAUCCAUCAAGUUGAGACUGGGUGAUUUAAAAACAGCCAGCAGGGGGUACAGCUGCCAAUAGCCCAAGAUCAUCCAAACGAAAGAGAGAGCCUCUGUCUAUCUUACAUUUGGAGAAAUCUGGGAAAGGAUUCAAACUGGUCAGGUAAACAUUUUCUCUCCUGAAGAGUCUUGUGGUCAAGAGAAUAAAAAGUCUUCCUUGUUGGGGCUGGCCCCGUGGCCGAGUGGUUAAGUUCGCGCGCUCCGCUGCAGGCGGCCCAGUGUUUCGUUGGUUCGAAUCCUGGGCGCGGACAUGGCACUGCUCAUCAGACCACGCUGAGGCAGCGUCCCACAUGCCACAACUAGAAGAACCCACAACGAAGAAUACACAACUAUGUACCGGGGGGCUUUGGGGAG